AUGGGCGGCCAUGGGUUCUGCCGCCGGCGUCGUUCACUGCUACAACCACGACGUCGCAAAUUCUACAAACGGCAACUGGCCGUGCUGGAACUAGCUAUGCGGUGUGCUGGAACCGGCGGAAAAAAUGCUACAUCAAAGAGACUAAGUGUUGGGGACCGGAUGCCGGAGCUGCAUCCAGAGACUUUUUUUGCUACAUCCGGCAUCGUUCUUUGCUGGAACCAGUCAAUUGUCCGCUACAAGGUCGGCACGGCAGAAGCUUCAACCGUUUCUGAAAAAAGCUUCAACCGGCUAUGGAAAAGCUUCAUCCGGCUAGAGGAAAAGCUUCAAAGUGGCAUGAGGGAAAAUCUGUUCACUGCGGGAAAAAAGCUUCAAGCGGCCAUGAAAAAGCUUCAACCGGCAAGAGGAAAAUCCACAUGUGAAAAACGCUUCAACCGGGGAACGCCAAUGAUAGGAGCUGACGACGGCGAGAGCUGCGGCCGACACCAUGGUGGUGCCGCGACGGGCGAGCUACAGGCACGUCGGGGCUAG
This 528-nucleotide ribosomal RNA is filed under the name Triticum aestivum (bread wheat). Its description in RNAcentral is "partial small subunit ribosomal RNA". The record is from RNAcentral. Lineage: Eukaryota; Viridiplantae; Streptophyta; Magnoliopsida; Poales; Poaceae.